CUCGACAACUGGCCUCUGUAGUUCAGUUGGUUAAAGCACUGCACCGGAAUAGCAGGGCUGCAGGUUUGAUUCCUGCCAGAGGACCUCUAGUUGUAUUUUGUUAAGUUUAAUAAAUGUAUAAAAUUCACACUAGAAAUUUCCAUCUACAAAAUCCUCCCACAAUUUAUUUUAACAACGAUUUUGUAGUAGCAAGUACGUAAAAAUGUGUCAAUUUCCACCCUAAAUACUCGUAACUUCAACGUUUUGCAAAUUUUCUACCAAUGCUUGAUUUAGAAACAAUAACACACGAAUGUAGUGAAUCAACCCAAUAUUGGUGAAUUUCAGUAAGUGCGAUGAGGAAGCAGCUAGUGUUCAUCAAAGGAACCGCAAACAAAUAAAGGAGCAUGAAAAUUCAACAAGUGAAUCUCUCAAUUCUUUUUGAAUUAAAAUUAUUUCCACACUCUCAUAACUGCUGAUUAACCACAAUCUGCUGCACAACAGUGCUUAGUGAAACCUACCUACACCGCCCUAUAAAAGGCUGUUAUGACAAUAAAUUUGCCAAAGUAGAGUUUAAUGGCAUUAAAUCUACACAUGGGAAAAAAGUUCAAACAUAUUGUCAACCUCAUCCCCCAACCCCGGUUUUGUUUGUGUUACUCCGGUCUCUUCACGCAUAAUUUCUUACCAUUUUGUAAUUGCGUGCAUGAAUUUAAUAUGACACAUGCACGUCAGUAUGUCACACACCUAUGUGGCCACGCCUGUGUUAACACCAUUACUCCGUUACUACGAGUAUUAUUCAUGGCCCUAAAUUCUUAACCGUAUUAAUACGGUUCUAUUAUGUGCACACAUCAGUCAUGUUGCAUGCAAUACGGGUGACACAAAUGAUCUACGAUAUCUCCACAAACAUAGAUAUAUCUAUCCUAUUGUCCUACAUAUCUACAUUAUAUUGGAUGAAACUCAGUGGAAUGACAGACAAUAGAGCAACUCUAUACAUGGGGCCAACAUAUAUAUCUAUCUUCACCUUAUCCCUGGCAUCCACUUGUGCACCAUUUUCUAACAAAUUAGCCACGACAUUAACAUUAACACCCCACAGAUAUCCCCGAAUGGCUGCGUAAUGAAGAGCCGUCUUUUCGUCCUACAAAAAAAAUAUACAAAUUUGAAAAGCCUUGACAGGCUUUAUUUCAACUGCAAUUUUGCAGUGAGAAACAGGACAGAAUAUGUUAAUCGGCAUGCACCCUUGAAACUCGAAACUUAAAUAUUUUCCAAAUUUUCUGCCAAUGGUUUGAUUUAAAAACAACAACACACCAAUGUAGUCAAUGUACCCCAUAUUGGUGGAUUUCAGUAAGUGUAAUGGGGCAGCAGAUGGUGUCAACUUCAGAAAGGUUAGCAUUCAUAUAUUGGAACAUGAAAUAUCUAACUAGUGGUAAAUUUCUCAAAUAUAUUGGAUUGACUGAACAUUAUUUUUUCACUGUGAUUGACCAUCAUACAUCUGCUGCAAGACAGUGCUUAGCGAAAGCUACAUAUAUUGCAAAUUUAUAUACCCCCCCCCCCAAAAAAAAAACUAUUGGUGUCCGCUACUUAUGCACUUGCAGUCAUUGACGCAAUUCUUGCACGAAAGAGAAAUCACUAAGAACUCUCUAGUCAGUCGUUUUCUACUUUAAGGAAGACAACAGUGAUAUUUAACUGCUCAAUGACACUCCAAAUUUGAAUAAGUCAGUUAUGCCGGCCAUAGGCAUUAUAGAUCAGUUAUGAAAAUAAACUAGUCAACUACACUCAACAUAACUAAAACCUUCUGCAAUUAGUUAUAUCGAGCGUAGACGCCCAAAAUCCUGAUAUUUAUA
This 1817-nucleotide long non-coding RNA is filed under the name Paramuricea clavata. The stretch from base 12 to 84 matches the Rfam family "tRNA". The record is from RNAcentral. Lineage: Eukaryota; Metazoa; Cnidaria; Anthozoa; Malacalcyonacea; Plexauridae.